Molecule: transfer RNA, 69 nt
Filed under: Janus sp. 1 GYN-2022d
Lineage: Eukaryota; Metazoa; Arthropoda; Insecta; Hymenoptera; Cephidae
Description: tRNA-Trp
Rfam family: tRNA
About the family: Transfer RNA (tRNA) molecules are approximately 80 nucleotides in length.
Source: RNAcentral
AAGAAUUUAAGUUAAAUAAACUAAUAGCCUUCAAAGCUAUAAAUAAAAUUUUUAAUAUUUUAAGUCUUA